GUGUCAGCAGCCGCGGUAAGACAGAGGGUGCAAACGUUGCCCGGAAUCACUGGGCGUAAAGCGCGUGUAGGCGGACAAUCAAGUCAGGUGUGAAAUCCCCGGGCUCAACCUGGGAACUGCAUCUGAAACUGGUUGUCUUGAGUAUCGGAGAGGGAAGCGGAAUUCCUGGUGUAGAGGUGAAAUUCGUAGAUAUCAGGAGGAACACCGGUGGCGAAGGCGGCUUCCUGGACGAUUACUGACGCUGAGACGCGAAAGUGUGGGUAGCAAACAGGAUUAGAUACCCUCGUAGUCC
Molecule: ribosomal RNA, 292 nt
Filed under: uncultured bacterium
Lineage: Bacteria
Description: partial 16S ribosomal RNA
Rfam family: Bacterial small subunit ribosomal RNA
Source: RNAcentral